GACGAACGCUGGCGGCGUGCUUAACACAUGCAAGUCGAACGGAAAGGCCCUGCUUUUGUGGGGUGCUCGAGUGGCGAACGGGUGAGUAACACGUGAGUAACCUGCCCUUGACUUUGGGAUAACUUCAGGAAACUGGGGCUAAUACCGGAUAGGAGCUCCUGCUGCAUGGUGGGGGUUGGAAAGUUUCGGCGGUUGGGGAUAGACUCGCGGCUUAUCAGCUUGUUGGUGGGGUAGUGGCUUACCAAGGCUUUGACGGGUAGCCGGCCUGAGAGGGUGACCGGCCACAUUGGGACUGAGAUACGGCCCAGACUCCUACGGGAGGCAGCAGUGGGGAAUAUUGCACAAUGGGCGGAAGCCUGAUGCAGCAACGCCGCGUGCGGGAUGACGGCCUUCGGGUUGUAAACCGCUUUCGCCUGUGACGAAGCGUGAGUGACGGUAAUGGGUAAAGAAGCACCGGCUAACUACGUG
RNAcentral lists this ribosomal RNA (468 nucleotides) under uncultured bacterium. Its description in RNAcentral is "partial 16S ribosomal RNA". It matches the Rfam family "Bacterial small subunit ribosomal RNA", at positions 28 to 507 of the family's 1533-position model. The record is from RNAcentral.